GUGCAGUCAAAGUUGAGGAUCAGGUAUAUUCGUGCACAUAACACACAUGCUUCCCUAUAUCACAACUGUGCUUUGGACAGUCUGCCACAUCACGUUAAGUGCAUGUCUAUCAGGUUAUCUGUUGUUACACCCUCAAGGUUACUCCAGAAACACUGAACAUUGAACAGCAACAAAUUCCACAGACUCUGCAAAACUCAUCACAGCAAUGCCCCUUACAUACCAAAAGCUUCAUACUUAAAAGUUCCUUAGAAGUUUGUUCAAAUCACUCAGAAUAGAAGAACAAUUUGUGGUUCCCAAAGAACCUUUCAGUGAUCAGUUCUUAUAAGAACUUUUCUUAGUGUAAAGAUCGUUGUAAUAAUCUGUAGAACUUUUUUCCACUACAAGAACUUUUUAAACAACGGAAAGAUUCCAUGGAUGUUUAAGGUUCCUCACAGAACCAUUAAUGGCAUACAAAAAGCAUUAUUUUUAAGAGCGUACCUAAGCAUUUUUCACAACUUAUCAGGUGCUGUGACAACAAUGUAAAAAAAAUAAAUAAAUAAAAAAAAAUAAGUUGCAAAUAAGAAAAAAUCAAGAAAAACCAGCAGAUCCAUUAUCAUAAAAUGAAAAGUAUGAAAAGUAUCUUUGAGUGACAGUAGCUGGUGGUAUCUGUCUAAUAUGGGGGGAAAUUUAUGAUGAACCAGUUGUCUUUUCUUCAUUGUGCUGCACGAAUGUGAGUGGAGCUUGUCUUCUUCUGAAACUUCAUUCCACAUGAUUUCACCACAGGACUCACAUUCUGUUCUUUUUCAAUAAACACAACCAAUAACAUUUUUGUUUUUUUGCUACUGACAUACCAUCACCAAAACAGACCAGAGAAAUCCUCUAAGAGCGUUCCUCAGAAUAUCUGAUAUUACAUAAGCCAAAGCACUGCCAAAAUACUACUGGAAUAAAUUAGUCAUGAACAUCAAAGCUGAAGUGAUUACAGUUUUGGCACUGUGACGCGAAAUAAAUGCAGAGAUAAAUACAGAUAAGAAAAUGGACCUCAAGUUAUGAUAUAUGUUAUAUAUUGCACAUAAAAACAAGUCCAAAGUGUUGCCAAGCAACUAUUCCCCAGACUCAUGUGUUUAUACAAAACACUGCAGAAUUGAAAUGUAAGUUUUAAGUAAAAGCAUUAUAAAGCUCUUUACAGCAUAUGAAGCUUUAAACUGUAAUUAAGCUAUCAAGUUGAGUUACUAAUUAACUGAUAAGCAAAUGCACUUCUAAUGGCAUUAUUUUUCACAAAGUCCAACACGUAAGGACGGUCCUUGUAGACGUGCCACCUCUGACCUUUGAAACCCUGCGGUGUGACGUCUGCACCUGUGCUCAGAGCGUGAUGAGCAUCUGCACACACACACACACACACACACACACACACGGCUAACUGCAUCACAAUAAAACAAGAAAGAAAAAGCACAACAUGACUACCAAACGUUUUAUAGAGUUUCUACAUAAUACUUGAGCCCAAAUGCAGCAAUUGCAAUGAAAAUCAUUCUAUUGCAAUUGCUGCAUUUGGGCUCAAGUAUUAUGUAGAAACUCUAUAAAACGUUUGGUAGUCAUGUUGUGCUUUUUCUUUCAACGUAAUAGAAUAAUAACUUAAUGUUCCAGUUUAUUCAUUACUUAGUGAGUAGCAGUGUAAUAAGUGCAAUAAUUCAGAUAGCAGUAAAUGUGCGAUAACGGAUCAACAUGAAAUAGCAAUCACUCCUAUAAUAUUGCACAUUUACAUAUGAUACAGUGUAUCCAGCAAUAAAGCCAAGAUAUGUAUUAAAAAAGUCAAUAUUCAAUUUUAUUUAGACUUAAAUAAAGCCUUAAAAAUAUAAAAUAUUCUUUAAAAACACAGGUGCCAAAAAUUUUUAGGGCUG
Cyprinus carpio carpio is the source of this 1874-nucleotide long non-coding RNA. NCBI's taxonomy places the organism in Eukaryota, Metazoa, Chordata, Actinopteri, Cypriniformes, Cyprinidae. The record is from Ensembl.